Molecule: transfer RNA, 89 nt
Filed under: Synechococcus sp. MIT S9508
Lineage: Bacteria; Bacillati; Cyanobacteriota; Cyanophyceae; Synechococcales; Synechococcaceae
Description: tRNA-Ser
Rfam family: tRNA
About the family: Transfer RNA (tRNA) molecules are approximately 80 nucleotides in length. Their secondary structure includes four short double-helical elements and three loops (D, anti-codon, and T loops).
Source: RNAcentral
UGGAGAGGUGGUCGAGUGGUUUAUGGCUCUGGUCUUGAAAACCAGCGUGGACGCAAGUUCACCGUCGGUUCGAAUCCGACCCUCUCCGU